UUUCAACAGGAACACUCAAAACUAACGUAGUUCUGGGUUUUCCAUUUCUAGCCUGUACUGUCACAGAACCUGAAAAAUAAGAUUUUCUUCCAUGGUUCGAUCUUGCUUUAACAGGGUUCUUUUGCUGUCACUUCUUCUCACAAUCGUUUUCUCUAAUGGUAAUUCUAGAAAUAAUUGCAGCUUCAUUAUUAUUAUUAUUAUUGUGUUUUUAUCAUUGAUAUGAACGUGCGGCAUAUUAGACCUGUUUUUCCAUGUAUUCCUUCUAUAUAUAGGAUGUGGAAGAAAAAGGAUGAGAGCUUAUGAUCACGAAGAGGAUGCAGUUGAUUUCUCCGAGGUUUAUAUCUAUUUUCGGGUGUAAUUUUUUGUGAUUUCGUGAAUUCAAUUAUUUUCUGAUGAAAAUUAUAUUUUCUGUUUUUAAUGUAGGAAAAGGGAAGAGAGACGAUCGAGUUGGACUAUGUUGAUGCAGGGCCAAACUUCAAUGGUAGAACCGGUUAUCCUAUCCCUUCUACUCCUCCUCCUCCACCACCACCACCACCACCACCUCCACCCUUGGAGUUACGUUAUUUAUUUC
This 571-nucleotide long non-coding RNA is filed under the name Olea europaea subsp. europaea. Lineage: Eukaryota; Viridiplantae; Streptophyta; Magnoliopsida; Lamiales; Oleaceae. The record is from RNAcentral.